CAGAACUCUAAUUGAUAUAAAUAUUAUUUCUCAAAUCUGAACAUCUUAUUGCAUACCAUCCAAAUCUAUUAUAUGCCAUCAUAACCUAUUUAUCCAAUCCUAUUUGCUGCAUGAUGUCUUGUAUUAGCAUUUCCAUGUUAACAUAGGAAGAGCCUUCAGGUUCUAUUGCUCCCUUUGCCAUCCUGCUAAGCUCUUUGGCUCUUUUUCUUCUUUCUUCACUUUCCUCUCCUCCAUCCAUUAACCUUUCUAUAGCCCUAUUAACAUCUUUCUUUUUAACUAACACUCCAAUCUUCUCUUCUUCCCCCCAUGGCACAGUAACCUCUGUCCCAGCCUUUACACCAAUCUUUAACACAUCCACAACUAGCCUCUCAUUUAAGAACUGGUCUGCAAAUAAUGGCCAUGUAAUCAUUGGCUUGCCUGCACAUAUUCCUUCUAGAGUUGAAUUCCAUCCACAAUGUGUUAAGAAUCCUCCAACAGCUGCAUGCGACAAUAUAGCUACUUGGGGAGCCCAACCUCGAAUUAAGAGGCCUCUUCCGUUAAUCCUUUCUUCAAAACCAUCUUCUACAAUCCACUUUUCUAUUUGUGUUGAUUUCCCUCCUCCCCUUAACACCCAAAUGAAUGGUAUGUUUGAUGCUUCUAAUGCUAAGCCAAUCUCUAUCAACUGUGAGGUUAUUAGAUUACAAAGGCUACCAAAACAAACAUAUAAUACAGAUCCUGGCUUUUGUGAAUUAAGCCACUUCAAGCAUUCAUAUUCAUCAACUGAGGCCUUAUCGCCUCUUUGGAGCUUAUCCAAGUUGUCUUUGUUGCAUAGCGAAACUGGACCAACACACCAGACCUUAUCCCCUCUUGCCUUUUUGAAUUCUUGGACAUAAGCUGGCUCCAACUCUUCAAAAGAAUUAAAAAUAAUCCCGUAAGUCACGAUUUCAGCGGCUAUCACUUGCUUGUUGAAUAUUUGCACACUUUGAUGCAUGGCUUCUGGCAGCUGUUCUUUGGUUACUUGAAUAUGAUCAGGCAAACCAGGCACCUCGAAGUAUUCCGAUUUAGAGGUUAUGCUUUCGAGAAUCUGGGAAUUGUAUAAUCUGUGCAAGCACAUCAUACUAAAGCAACCAAAUCCAUUGAAAACAAUCCUUGGAAUCUGAAACUUGCUAGCAAUCCGACUCGUGUAUGGUAAGCACAUGUCAGAGAUUAUGCAAUUAGGCCUUGGUUUUAGAUCUUUAAGCAAUCGUUCUACCGUUUCUUGUAGCAAGUUGGUUGCAGAGGUGAACUCAAGGCCUAAGCCCAGUGAAGGAAGCAUAUCAAUAUUCUCACACUCUUUUGGCAAUCCUGCUUUUUCAGAUGGAAAUGGGACUUCAAGAAGGUGAAUUUCGAGCCCAGAUUCAACAGCACGAGCAAGAGUUGAUGCGAAACGCUUUGAAUUAAGUGGCGUGGUAACUAUAGUAAUAAUCAUGCCAUGCUGAGCUAACAAUCUGGCUAUGUCAACCAUAGGAAUCAUGUGGCCUUGAGCCAUAUAAGGAAACAGGAUAAAAUGGAGUUGGUGGGAUUUGGAAGCCAUGGAAAUCAAGCAAAUAUGAGUAUUGACUAACUAAGGACAUAUGGCUAAUGGCUUCUCCUUCUAUUGUUUUAUAGAGGAAGAAAUGCUUACCUGUGUUAAAAAGAUAUAAAUCCAAACAUUUGCAGAAAAUUAUAAUUUAAUUCAGUUGUUCUAAAUUUAGCAAUUCAAGCCAAAAUUAAAUAACAUAAUAGAAAUUGGACAUGCAUGGGUUGAGUGAAUUAUUGACAUACACAUUAUGUUAGCCAAAAGAAUGUGGCCAAUGCAUAUUGAUGCUAUCUGUUUGGGUUUGAUAAAUAAAGUUUUGUCUGUAGUGUUUCCUGUUCUGAUUCCAUACGCG
RNAcentral lists this unclassified non-coding RNA (1889 nucleotides) under Hevea brasiliensis (rubber tree). Lineage: Eukaryota; Viridiplantae; Streptophyta; Magnoliopsida; Malpighiales; Euphorbiaceae. The record is from RNAcentral.